AAUGAACGCUGGCGGCAUGCCUAACACAUACAAGUCGAACGAAGGCUUCGGCCUUAGUGGCGCACGGGUGCGUAACGCGUGGGAAUCUGCCCUUGGGUUCGGAAUAACAGUUAGAAAUGACUGCUAAUACCGGAUGAUGUCGUAAGACCAAAGAUUUAUCGCCCAAGGAUGAGCCCGCGUAGGAUUAGCUAGUUGGUGGGGUAAAGGCCUACCAAGGCGACGAUCCUUAGCUGGUCUGAGAGGAUGAUCAGCCACACUGGGACUGAGACACGGCCCAGACUCCUACGGGAGGCAGCAGUGGGGAAUAUUGGACAAUGGGCGAAAGCCUGAUCCAGCAAUGCCGCGUGAGUGAUGAAGGCCUUAGGGUUGUAAAGCUCUUUUACCCGGGAUGAUAAUGACAGUACCGGGAGAAUAAGCUCCGGCUAACUUCGUG
Molecule: ribosomal RNA, 433 nt
Filed under: uncultured bacterium
Lineage: Bacteria
Description: partial 16S ribosomal RNA
Rfam family: Bacterial small subunit ribosomal RNA
Source: RNAcentral